AUGCACGCUGGCGGCGUGCCUAAUCCAUGCAAGUCGAGCGAAUAGACGAGGAGCUUGCUCCUCUGACGUUAGCGGCGGACGGGUGAGUAACACGUGGAUAACCUACCUAUAAGACUGGGAUAACUUCGGGAAACCGGAGCUAAUACCGGAUAAUAUAUUGAACCGCAUGGUUCGAUAGUGAAAGACGGUUUUGCUGUCACUUAUAGAUGGAUCCGCGCCGCAUUAGCUAGUUCGUAAGGUAACGGCUUACCAAGGCAACGAUGCGUAGCCGACCUGAGAGGGUGAUCGGCCACACUGGAACUGAGACACGGUCCAGACUCCUACGGGAGGCAGCAGUAGGGAAUCUUCCGCAAUGGGCGAAAGCCUGACGGAGCAACGCCGCGUGAGUGAUGAAGGUCUUCGGAUCGUAAAACUCUGUUAUUAGGGAAGAACAAAUGUGUAAGUAACUAUGCACGUCUUGACGGUACCUAAUCAGAAAGCCACGGCUAACUACGUG
RNAcentral lists this ribosomal RNA (496 nucleotides) under uncultured bacterium. Its description in RNAcentral is "partial 16S ribosomal RNA". It matches the Rfam family "Bacterial small subunit ribosomal RNA", at positions 29 to 507 of the family's 1533-position model. The record is from RNAcentral.